Molecule: long non-coding RNA, 263 nt
Organism: Carassius auratus (goldfish)
Lineage: Eukaryota; Metazoa; Chordata; Actinopteri; Cypriniformes; Cyprinidae
Exons: 3
Source: RefSeq, a predicted model, not a curated record
CGACAAUCGGUGCGAAACCAGUGCUUGAGCAGGCGCUAUUAUUCACGGAGAUAGUCUCGGACAAAAUCUCAUUUUAAAGUCGGAUUUAGGAUUUUGAGAAUGGAACAGAUGAGACAAACGUGUGUUUAUCUGCUGAAGAGAGACUUGAGGAAGAAAUGCUGCCAUCACAGGAUUUGUAUCUUUUGUGGUAAGGGGAAAGGGGAAAACAAAGGGAAAACCUGAAACAAAAGAAUAAACGUAAGACCAUUUAGUUACUUCUAACG